GAUCAUGGCUCAGGAUGAACGCUGGCGGCGUGCUUAACACAUGCAAGUCGAACGAAGCAACUAUCUUGGCUUGCAAGAAAGUUGACUUAGUGGCGGACGGGUGAGUAACGGCGUGGGUAACCUGCCUCAUACAGGGGGAUAACAGUUGGAAACGACUGCUAAGACCGCGAUAACCCGCUAGUGUCGCAUGACACGGACGGAAAAUAUUUAUAGGUAUGAGAUGGGCCCGCGUCUGAUUAGCUAGUUGGUAAGGUAACGGCUUACCAAGGCGACGAUCAGUAGCCGACUUGAGAGAGUGAUCGGCCACAUUGGGACUGAGACACGGCCCAAACUCCUACGGGAGGCAGCAGUGGGGAAUAUUGGACAAUGGGGGAAACCCUGAUCCAGCGAACCGCCGCGUGAGUGAAGAAGUAUUUCGGUAUGUAAAGCUCUAUCAGCAGGGAAGAUAAUGACAGUACCUGACUAAGAAGCCCCGGCUAACUACGUGCCAGCCGCUGC
Molecule: ribosomal RNA, 498 nt
Filed under: uncultured bacterium
Lineage: Bacteria
Description: bacterial SSU rRNA
Rfam family: Bacterial small subunit ribosomal RNA
Source: RNAcentral